This 508-nucleotide ribosomal RNA is filed under the name uncultured bacterium. RNAcentral describes it as "partial 16S ribosomal RNA". It matches the Rfam family "Bacterial small subunit ribosomal RNA", at positions 28 to 507 of the family's 1533-position model. The record is from RNAcentral.
GACGAACGCUGGCGGCGUGCCUAAUACAUGCAAGUCGAACGCUUCUUUCCUCCCGAGUGCUUGCACUCAAUUGGAAAGAGGAGUGGCGGACGGGUGAGUAACACGUGGGUAACCUACCCAUCAGAGGGGGAUAACACUUGGAAACAGGUGCUAAUACCGCAUAACAGUUUAUGCCGCAUGGCAUAAGAGUGAAAGGCGCUUUCGGGUGUCGCUGAUGGAUGGACCCGCGGUGCAUUAGCUAGUUGGUGAGGUAACGGCUCAUCAAGGCCACGAUGCAUAGCCGACCUGAGAGGGUGAUCGGCCACACUGGGACUGAGACACGGCCCAGACUCCUACGGGAGGCAGCAGUAGGGAAUCUUCGGCAAUGGACGAAAGUCUGACCGAGCAACGCCGCGUGAGUGAAGAAGGUUUUCGGAUCGUAAAACUCUGUUGUUAGAGAAGAACAAGGACGUUAGUAACUGAACGUCCCCUGACGGUAUCUAACCAGAAAGCCACGGCUAACUACGUG